AGAGAGGCUGUGAGGGUGGCUUUGUGAGGAUGGCUUUGUGUGGCUGCACAUUGCCCUUGGCCAAGCCCCGCUGCCAGGAGAGGCAGCUCGGCUGCCAAACCUCCUGAACCCAAGUUACCUGAGCAAGCAGCCCUAUCCCCUCGCCUGCUUCUCACUGCCUCGCCUGCCUUGGGCCUGCCCGACCCAGGGGGUCACAUGCCUUGUUCCCCAUCAGUGGAGACCAGGGACAAGAAGACAGUUCUGUGGGAAGAGCCAGGAGGACCAUUUGGGAAAAUACAGGUUCCAGGUGUGUCUCCAGACCUUGAGAGUUGGUGUCUCCUGGGAAGAGGCCCUGAUGAGAUCUGGGGAGAUUCGGAUCUGAUGAGAUUCAGGAAGCCCUGGCCUCUCCGUACUUGAGGAGACGGGACACACAGGACAAGCUGCAGGCUGGUGAGCAGGUUCACCUUCUAUUUUGAAGACCCGCUUCUUCCUCAGGUACCUGAUCUUGAAAACGACCUCCCCUUUCAGUUCUGGAGGCCAGAAGCCCAAAAUCAGUCUCGCUGGGCUAACGUGAAGGUGUCAGUCGGGCUGGUUCCUUCUGGAGGCUCCAGAAAAGAAUCUGUUUUCUUGCCUUUUCUGGCUCAGUUUCUCGGCUUGUGGCUCCUUCCUCCAUCUUCAAAGAGCACCACUCCAAUCUGCUCCUCCAUCAGGUCACCUUCUGCCUGACUCCUACAUCCCUUUCAGAAGGACCCUUGUGAUUCCAUGAGGUCCACCCAGAUCACGCAGGAUAAUGUCCCCGUCUCAAGAGGCUUAAUCUAAUCACAGUGAAAACCAUUUCCUCCUCGUCGUGGCGCAGGUCCAGAGGCUGCGCCCAUCUCUCCCACGUCAACAGUCCUGUGUCCUUGGCGAAGGACUGUUCUCUCAUUCAGUGCCUUUCCUCUCUUCCUGGGCCAAAUCCCUGCUUUGCGUCUCCCUGCAGCUCAUAAAAAGCUGAAUUACCUGAGGCAGGGAAAGCCCCACCCACUGUCAUUCUCAGGGAGGAGUGGAGUCUGCAGAGGCCGCAAUGCACAGCUUCCCUAUCCCCCUCCACCCGUGUUUUCCCAGAGCAGCUCUGUUCCAGGCCCGGGGGUGUCCCUGGGCCGAGAUGGAAUCCAGCCCUGACCACCUCCCAAAGCCAACAGCCCUGAGUGAGCGUGCAGAGAAGCAAGAGCUGUUCCUGAUGCAGAGCAAAGACAUCUCCCAGUCAAGGGGGAUGAACUGAUUUGGGACAAAAGGCAGUUGUUGGCUGAGGAAGGCAGGAUCUGGGGGAGCCCUGUGCUGAGUGGAGGUGGGUGGGUGUAUUUCCUUGGCUCACAGAGGCCUCUUGUCUGGUGGGAUCAGCUCCUCCAGCCAGUUGCCACCUGGUCCAGCUUUGGGAGAUGUGGAGAAUGACUUUCGCAGUGAUUUCCACUGGGCCAUGGCAUUGAAACAGCUGCAGGAGGGGACACAGCUGGUGCCACCCCUACUCCGUCCAUUAGAGCUGCUGUGAAGGAAUGCCACCCUCCCCAUGGGGAGUGAGGGGGCCCUACUUGCUGUGGUUGGUUCCAGGGACCAUGGGAAGAGGCAAACCCCUAUUUUCAAGGGCACAAGUUGGCUUUUAUUAAAAUAAAAUUUCAUCAUCACUUAUUCCAGUGGCUCCCAAACUUGGCUAAACAUCAGGAUCACCCAGGAUGUUUGUUAAAAAAUAAAGAUUAUGGCCGGGU
Molecule: long non-coding RNA, 1721 nt
Filed under: Homo sapiens (human)
Lineage: Eukaryota; Metazoa; Chordata; Mammalia; Primates; Hominidae
Description: long intergenic non-protein coding RNA 1819
Source: RNAcentral